CCUACGGGUGGCAGCAGUGAGGAAUAUUGGUCAAUGGGCGCGAGCCUGAACCAGCCAAGUCGCGUGAGGGAAGACGGUCCUAUGGAUUGUAAACCUCUUUUGUCGGGGAGCAAAAGACGCCACGCGUGGCGUUCCGAGAGUACCCGAAGAAAAAGCAUCGGCUAACUCCGUGCCAGCAGCCGCGGUAAUACGGAGGAUGCGAGCGUUAUCCGGCUGUAUUGGGUGUAAGGGGUGCGCAGGCGGAAGAUCAAGUCAGCGGUAAAAUUGAGAGGCUCAACCUCUUCGAGCCGUUGAAACUGGUUUUCUUGAGUGAGCGAGAAGUAUGCGGAAUGCGUGGGGUAGCGGUGACAUGCAUAGAUAUCACGCAGAACUCCGAUUGCGAAGGCAGCAUACCGGCGCUCAACUGACGCUCAUGCACGAAAGUGUGGGUAUCGAACAGGAUUAGAUACCCCUUUAGUC
RNAcentral lists this ribosomal RNA (459 nucleotides) under uncultured bacterium. RNAcentral's name for it is "partial 16S ribosomal RNA". It matches the Rfam family "Bacterial small subunit ribosomal RNA", at positions 338 to 795 of the family's 1533-position model. The record is from RNAcentral.